Molecule: ribosomal RNA, 248 nt
Filed under: uncultured bacterium
Lineage: Bacteria
Description: partial 16S ribosomal RNA
Rfam family: Bacterial small subunit ribosomal RNA
Source: RNAcentral
UACGUAGGGUGCAAGCGUUAAUCGGAAUUACUGGGCGUAAAGCGUGCGCAGGCGGUUAUGUAAGACAGAUGUGAAAUGCCCGGGCUUAACCUGGGAACUGCAUUUGUGACUGCAUGGCUAGAGUGUGUCAGAGGGGGGUAGAAUUCCACGUGUAGCAGUGAAAUGCGUAGAUAUGUGGAGGAAUACCGAAUGGCGAAGGCAGCCCCCCUGGGAUAACACUGACGCUCAUGCACGAAAGCGUGGGGAGC